GACGAACGCUGGCGGCGUGCCUAAUACAUGCAAGUCGAGCGGGCCUCCGGAGGUGCUUGCACCUCCGGAAGGCCAGCGGCGGACGGGUGAGUAACACGUGGGCAACCUGCCUUUGAGGCCGGGAUAACACCGGGAAACCGGUGCUAAUACCGGAUACGUCCUCUUUCGCGCCUGCGAGAGGGGAGAAAGACGGUCUUUAAGGCCGUCGCUCAAAGAGGGGCCCGCGGCGCAUUAGCUGGUUGGUGGGGUAAGGGCCUACCAAGGCGACGAUGCGUUGCCGACCUGAGAGGGUGAUCGGCCACACUGGGACUGAGACACGGCCCAGACUCCUGCGGGAGGCAGCAGUAGGGAAUCAUCCGCAAUGGGCGAAAGCCUGACGGUGCAACGCCGCGUGAGUGAGGAAGGUUUUCGGAUCGUAAAGCUCUGUUGUGAGGGAAGAACAGCUUCCGGAGGAAGUGCCGGAGGUUUGCCGGUACCUCACCAGAAAGCCCCGGCUAACUACGUGCCAGCAGCCGCAGUAA
Molecule: ribosomal RNA, 521 nt
Filed under: uncultured bacterium
Lineage: Bacteria
Description: partial 16S ribosomal RNA
Rfam family: Bacterial small subunit ribosomal RNA
Source: RNAcentral